RNAcentral lists this ribosomal RNA (1486 nucleotides) under Salmonella enterica subsp. enterica serovar Enteritidis. Its description in RNAcentral is "bacterial SSU rRNA". It matches the Rfam family "Bacterial small subunit ribosomal RNA". Lineage: Bacteria; Pseudomonadati; Pseudomonadota; Gammaproteobacteria; Enterobacterales; Enterobacteriaceae. The record is from RNAcentral.
CGGUAACAGGAAGCAGCUUGCUGCUUUGCUGACGAGUGGCGGACGGGUGAGUAAUGUCUGGGAAACUGCCUGAUGGAGGGGGAUAACUACUGGAAACGGUGGCUAAUACCGCAUAACGUCGCAAGACCAAAGAGGGGGACCUUCGGGCCUCUUGCCAUCAGAUGUGCCCAGAUGGGAUUAGCUUGUUGGUGAGGUAACGGCUCACCAAGGCGACGAUCCCUAGCUGGUCUGAGAGGAUGACCAGCCACACUGGAACUGAGACACGGUCCAGACUCCUACGGGAGGCAGCAGUGGGGAAUAUUGCACAAUGGGCGCAAGCCUGAUGCAGCCAUGCCGCGUGUAUGAAGAAGGCCUUCGGGUUGUAAAGUACUUUCAGCGGGGAGGAAGGUGUUGUGGUUAAUAACCGCAGCAAUUGACGUUACCCGCAGAAGAAGCACCGGCUAACUCCGUGCCAGCAGCCGCGGUAAUACGGAGGGUGCAAGCGUUAAUCGGAAUUACUGGGCGUAAAGCGCACGCAGGCGGUCUGUCAAGUCGGAUGUGAAAUCCCCGGGCUCAACCUGGGAACUGCAUUCGAAACUGGCAGGCUUGAGUCUUGUAGAGGGGGGUAGAAUUCCAGGUGUAGCGGUGAAAUGCGUAGAGAUCUGGAGGAAUACCGGUGGCGAAGGCGGCCCCCUGGACAAAGACUGACGCUCAGGUGCGAAAGCGUGGGGAGCAAACAGGAUUAGAUACCCUGGUAGUCCACGCCGUAAACGAUGUCUACUUGGAGGUUGUGCCCUUGAGGCGUGGCUUCCGGAGCUAACGCGUUAAGUAGACCGCCUGGGGAGUACGGCCGCAAGGUUAAAACUCAAAUGAAUUGACGGGGGCCCGCACAAGCGGUGGAGCAUGUGGUUUAAUUCGAUGCAACGCGAAGAACCUUACCUGGUCUUGACAUCCACAGAAGAAUCCAGAGAUGGAUUUGUGCCUUCGGGAACUGUGAGACAGGUGCUGCAUGGCUGUCGUCAGCUCGUGUUGUGAAAUGUUGGGUUAAGUCCCGCAACGAGCGCAACCCUUAUCCUUUGUUGCCAGCGGUUAGGCCGGGAACUCAAAGGAGACUGCCAGUGAUAAACUGGAGGAAGGUGGGGAUGACGUCAAGUCAUCAUGGCCCUUACGACCAGGGCUACACACGUGCUACAAUGGCGCAUACAAAGAGAAGCGACCUCGCGAGAGCAAGCGGACCUCAUAAAGUGCGUCGUAGUCCGGAUUGGAGUCUGCAACUCGACUCCAUGAAGUCGGAAUCGCUAGUAAUCGUGGAUCAGAAUGCCACGGUGAAUACGUUCCCGGGCCUUGUACACACCGCCCGUCACACCAUGGGAGUGGGUUGCAAAAGAAGUAGGUAGCUUAACCUUCGGGAGGGCGCUUACCACUUUGUGAUUCAUGACUGGGGUGAAGUCGUAACAAGGUAACCGUAGGGGAACCUGCGGUUGGAUCACCUCCUUACCUUAAAGAA